This 500-nucleotide ribosomal RNA is filed under the name uncultured bacterium. Its description in RNAcentral is "bacterial SSU rRNA". It matches the Rfam family "Bacterial small subunit ribosomal RNA", at positions 8 to 514 of the family's 1533-position model. The record is from RNAcentral.
AGAGUUUGAUCCUGGCUCAGAAUCAACGCUGGCGGCGUGCCUAACACAUGCAAGUCGAGCGAGAAAAGGGGGGCAACUCCCUGAGUACAGCGGCGCACGGGUGAGUAACGCGUGGGUAAUCUGCCCUGGAGUGGGGAAUAACACCGGGAAACCGGUGCUAAUACCGCAUACGAUAGCGAGGUCUGCGGACUUUGUUAUGAAAGGAGCAAUUCGCUCCAGGAGGAGCCCGCGGCUGAUUAGCUAGUUGGUGAGGUAAUGGCUCACCAAGGCUACGAUCAGUAUCCGGUCUGAGAGGACGGUCGGACACACUGGAACUGAGACACGGUCCAGACUCCUACGGGAGGCAGCAGUGGGGAAUUUUUCGCAAUGGGGGCAACCCUGACGAAGCAACGCCGCGUGGGUGAUGAAGUCUCUUGGGACGUAAAACCCUUUCGACGGGGAAGAAACCGCAAGGUUGACGGUACCCGUAGAAGAAGCCCCGGCUAACUCCGUGCCAGCAG